Molecule: transfer RNA, 67 nt
Filed under: Brachymeles miriamae (Miriam's skink)
Lineage: Eukaryota; Metazoa; Chordata; Lepidosauria; Squamata; Scincidae
Description: tRNA-Lys
Rfam family: tRNA
About the family: Transfer RNA (tRNA) molecules are approximately 80 nucleotides in length. Their secondary structure includes four short double-helical elements and three loops (D, anti-codon, and T loops).
Source: RNAcentral
CACUAAGAAGCUUCUACAGCACUAGCCUUUUAAGCUAGAGAAGAGGGAUUACACCCUCCUUAAUGAA